AAGAGCUGGAGGACCUUUGAAGAAAGCAUAACAAAAAGGGAAGACUUUGGACACAGGUUAGAGAAGACCAGAGAGACACCAGAGAACACAGCAAGACACAAAGUAAAAUAGAAUAUUUGUUUUGUCCUUGAUAAUCCUUGUGGGCCCCUUCCAACUUGGCAUAUUCUCUGAUUCUGUGAAUUUAGGUCAUUCACAGGGAGGCCGAUACAGGUCUGUGAAAAAGUCUGUUGCCACCAGUAGUGUUGAUCCUUCUACACAAAAAAACUUCUAAGGAGCAAGCCUCCAGGGGCAUAUUGUAAAAGGAGUCUUUGUCUUGCAUGGUUUUAUGUUGGCAUUCAGUUUUGUUAUGUGGUAUUAGAUGUGAGUAUGCUUAUUUAAUGUUUAGGAUAGCAGUGCUUUAUUUCUAUGGACAUAUUCUGUGAAAAGGGGUGUUCCUUGUCUUUUGUCUAAAUAUUGGACACGUUUUUUGCUUGUUUGUUUGCUUUUGUUUGGUUUGGUUUUAGUUGUUUUGUUGUUGUUGCUUUCUAAUUCUUUUAUGCAACCUGGAAAUAAAACCAACUGUGUCACUUUACUAUUAAAAGCAUCUAGGUAGUAUGCUAUACAAGAUCAAAGAAUGUUUGUGAAUAAAGUAUUAGUCUCUUCUGCAGUGAUGAGAAUACUUAUAGACUUCAAGGUAGCAAGAGACAAGCGGUGGUGUCAGCAAGUGACCAAAUUGUAUGUUUUGUGGUCUUUACAAAUUGACAUGCAGAGCCAAAAUAUCACAAGCUGAAAUAAUGAAUAACCAAGAGGCUGAUGUUCUGCGUUGCUGGAGUUGUAGAAAAUACAUAGCAAAUUCUGUUUGCCUUGCCAAAUGCAAUGGAAAAGAACUAUCUGAAAGGAACAGAAAGUGAGUGUGAUUUUGGAGCUCAUGGACAAUCUUCUGCAAGUAUCAUUGCUGGUAGGUCACCAUUUGUGCUGAAACUUUCUUCACCUAUGAGGGCUGUAGAAGACAAAGAGUACCUCACACCUGUUGGUCUUGUGCAGCCUACAAGUAUUUCCUUCAACCAAAAGCUGAGAAAGAGAGAAAGAAGCCUGAGGAGAAAGCAAAGAAGGUGAGAACGAUGGCUACAGAACCAAGUAGGUGAUGAAAAUUGAUUAUCCUACUUUUUUUGGUAAAGU
RNAcentral lists this long non-coding RNA (1158 nucleotides) under Manacus vitellinus (golden-collared manakin). RNAcentral's name for it is "lncRNA (ENSMVIG00005016104.1)". The record is from RNAcentral. Lineage: Eukaryota; Metazoa; Chordata; Aves; Passeriformes; Pipridae.